This 680-nucleotide long non-coding RNA is filed under the name Androctonus crassicauda. The record is from RNAcentral. Lineage: Eukaryota; Metazoa; Arthropoda; Arachnida; Scorpiones; Buthidae.
AUUUUAUGGUUGGUGUGCGUUUGCUUAUUUAAAAUUUUGUUCUGUUUUGUUUUAAAAUUUUAUAGAAUUAGAACAAAAUUAAAUGUAUACAGUAUAUAAUUAUGAGAAAGGUUUCAUUUUUUUCUAUCAGGUAUAAAUUCUCUGAUAUUUUGUGCUUGCUGCCAUGUUUAGAACAUAAGAUGAAUGAAAUUCUCAAUAAAAUGUUAUGUUUGUCUUUAUUUGCUGAAAAAAGAUUAAAAGUAAUCCCUGACUUGCAUAGGAAGAUUAUUCUGCAAAAUCCUAUCCAAAUCAAAUCUACGUAUGUCAGAGCAUAUAGAAUACUAGUGGGACACGAAAGAUUUGACAUUAAAGAUAGUUAUAGUUAUAUUAAAAAAUAAGCACAUAACUGCAUAAUAAAGCAGUUGCUUACCAUCUUGAAAGAUUUGAUUUUAUUCUGAAUCUCACACACAUUUUUUAAGAAGGUGUCAAAUUCAGGCCUGACUUCAUAACUGAAAUUAACAUACAUAAAUACAGCUCUAUAUAAGUCUGGGAUUGCCUGUAUUUUGUAAUCUCUUUUACUUAUUUACCAUUUAAAAUAAAUAUGAAAAGGAAUACAACAGAAUUUGAUUUUAAGAAAUAUAAAUUUUUAAACUAUAUACAGUAUAUUAUCUUGGUUAAUCUUAUGGAUAUAUUAAUCUGCC